This is a long non-coding RNA of Canis lupus familiaris (dog), 1176 nucleotides long. RefSeq lists it as uncharacterized. The transcript is spliced from 2 exons. Lineage: Eukaryota; Metazoa; Chordata; Mammalia; Carnivora; Canidae. The record is from RefSeq and is a predicted model, not a curated record.
GGGAGACGGCGCGGCGACGCUCACCCCGGCUGCUCGUCCUCAGACAAAAGCCCGCGUCACCUGCCCGCGGCCGCCGGGACCUCGGGGCCCCUCUUUGCGGCCCGCUGGCGCCCUCUGGCUGCGCCCGGUCGGCCUGGGCGUACCCGCGGCCCCGGGAAGCCGGCGGCGCCCUCCUCACCUGGGCGGGGCGCCCUCCUCACCUGGGCGGGGCGGCGCGUCCUCCGCCCUCGCAGGCCCGGGACGCGGACGAAGGCCUCCGUCCUCCGUCCUUAGGGGAGGAUGCCACAGGCAGGUGCGUCCGCAGGCAACUGGGGGAGGUAAGUGCCUUUUCAACCAACAGGGGAAGAAAACAAGAAAACGUAUCGGAACUUUACAUGUCAAUCAAGCAGGGCGCCAGGGUCCACCCAGGACUGUGCCUGCCAGGUGUGCGGGGGACCCCGAGGCUACCCGCGCAGGGCCAGGUGACCGCAACAGACUGAAUGUUCGCCUUGUAACCAAAGGGCCUAGGAAAAAAAUGAGACGACAUAGGAAGGAAUGUCUGUUCGCCUCCAGUGCUCCUGGCGCCGUUCAUGAGGGCGAAAACCAGCCUUGCGAAGGUGUGACUGGAAAGCAGAUCACAGGUUACCAUAGAAAUAGAGGUACAGGCUCACACCAAGGCAAUGGCGUGUCUCCUCAGUGUGGUCUCCCAUCAGAUUUCGCUGUCCCCUCAAGGACUUUUUUUUUUAAGGAAUUUUCUUUAAUGAAAUCAUGAUGUAAUGGGCUGAUAGAGCCAUUAAUCUCGGAAUUUGUCGACAUGCAUCAAAUGGUGACCAAAAUGUCACAUCUCAAUCCUUUAUUACAUAAAAUCCAGUAUGGUGACGUGUGUAGUCUGAGUUUUACUCGUUCAUCCAACAUCUUACAUUUUUAAUGUGCGUGCUCUUGAAAAAAUUUUAAAAACAACUCACUCAGGGGCUUUAGGAAUAAGCAUCUGAAGCUCUGGAAUUGAGAAAAUUGUUAACAUUAACUACUGUGGAUGCCACUGGCUGCUUAGAUUAUGAACUAAUGGACUUGGACGCAUAUGGUAAAGUGCAAUCUGUGACAAAUUUCAUUACCUGUCGACAUUACACACACUAAAAUAAAAACUGCCUCACUCUCCAAAUGGAAUGAAUAUAUUCUUAAUAAACAAAGCUGCACUUC